AGCGUGAGCGUGAGCGUGAGCGUGAAUUAUAACAUACAAGACCAGUGACAGCGACAGCGACUGCCCAGGCUGACCUUUAUGGUUUAUUUAUUAUUUAUUGUUGAUUUUGUGUCCGUGAUUUGUUUUUGUUUAAACCUUUUAUUUUCGCUCGGUGAGCACAGUCUUUUCUGUUUAAAUAUUUAUUUUAUUUUUGGUUUGCUUAAUAAAAAUGGCAAACGCCAGUUGAACUGCAGUACGUACCCGGUGUCAGUAUUUUGUUCCUGCUUCUGCCUGACGUCAGACCACUCGUCCAUCCCUGUCUCAGAUGCACAUAGCUUUUCUGACUGAUUUGUGUACUUUUCAGUGUACACAGGUAAGAAAGAUUAUUGGUGUCGUUUUGGGAGAACUCGUGUUACAUUUGACACCAAAACAGUUCAGUUGCACUGUUGAUGUAAAGGCAGUCAAAAAAUGACACGAUGUGUUCACAGAUAUAUCUCAAUGUGGUAUAUUUAUCAAGAACGCAGAGAUUUAGUAGGUGUAAUCAGAACACAGAAAAAUGUGACUGAAGAAGCAGACAGUGACAGCAUGGAUGAGAAAUGUUUUGAUUUGGAUGGUCCCUGCUUUGCUGUCCAUGAAUAUCCCCCAGACAAAGAACAUGUCGUUAAGAUGGUUAAUUACUUAUGGAUGAUAAACAUAUUCCAGAAGAAUUACCAGAUGACAUUUCAAAACAUGAAAAAGAAUUACCAGAACAAUUUAUGCCAUAUGAAACUACCUGCCCUUCUUGUCCUGGAUCAACCUCACCUCAACUUAGCAAAAAUGCAGUUUGUAUGGACUUUAAGGUCCACAAAGGCAUCAACAUGUAUGUGAAGAUGUGCCCAGUCUGUGAAACUCCUGUCCGUUUUCAAGACUACAAUUCUGGAUUACAUCAUUUUAAUGACCGUUUUUUUCUAAGUCUUCCCCUGUGCAUUCUUCUAACAGCAGCACUAAAGAACCACACAGCAGUUGGCCGCUUCCUGACCACAAUGGAAGAUUUUAUGGGCAUUCAAGUACAUCAUGAUACUUCAUUUUUCUGCACUGAGACAAUACUCAUACUACACUUUCGAUGUGGUCAUCACCCACCUGUUAUCAUUGCAGAUGCACAUUCUUAUUUGAUUUCUGGAAUGAUUUACAAGUCCAGUAGCCAAGAGAAACAAGAGCUGAAAACACCUAAUCAGAAUAAAGAUCAUUUGUUAAUAUCCAACAAAAAUAUAGUACAAUUGCAUUUAUUUUAAAAUCCUUUACACUCCUAGUCAGUCUGUUCAAGAGACCAAAGGUGGAUGAUGUACCUAAAGAGGAUCAUGUUGUUGACGUUGAGACCACGUGGCAAAAUAUGGAGCAGGAACUUAUUGCAUAUGGCCAAAGUGAUGGUGCUGCUGGUAAAAAUCCCUUUUCUAGACCUUUGUCUUAUUCAGCUUUUAUACCGUGGAUUGGUGCUGCAAGUAGGCUAGGUCAAACACUGCCAAAAACUGAAGCAUUAAAGGGCAUGCCAAGCAGAAAAACUGAGGAGUGCCAAAUUAAAGACUCAAUCAGAAUUGAUGAGGACAAGCUAAUAAGAACAUAAGAAAGUUUACAAACGAGAGGAGGCCAUUCAGCCCAUCUUGCUCGUUUGGUUGUUAGUAGCUUAUUGAUCCCAGAAUCUCAUCAAGCAGCUUCUUGAAGGAUCCCACGGUGUCGGCUUCAACAACAUUACUGGGGCGUUGGUUCCAGACCCUCAGAAUUCUCUGUGUAAAAAAAAACACAAUAUUCUAGGCUAGUAGAGGUCAACUGGCGGAAACAUGUCUGGUAUAGGUUCUAGAACAGACCUUAUCAAUAGACUACAGGAGCUAUUGCUCUAUAAAGACAUUUAUCCAAAGAUGUUUGUUAAACUGCAAAAAACUGGAGGUAGGAAUUAACUGAUAAUCACUAAAUUACUGAUUUUCCUCUUUAAUUACUACAGAAAAAGAUGGCAAUGUUUAUUUUUAUAACUGAAUAUUAUACAUUUGACUAUUUCUAUUUCCUCCUAUUGUUCUCUGAAGGUGGUGUGUUACACAUGGGAUGCAUGCACUCUGUGGUAUAUUACCACUCUCCUCUUUGGUGGCAAGAGUCUGCCACGAGAUCACACUGAUGCAUUACUGAGUUUCAAACACCCUCCAAACAUGUACAUAUCUGACAUUGCCGGUAGAGUUGCAAGACACACCAAUAACCGUACAGAACAGAAGUGUUUUGAAUCGAGUCAUUACUUUAUAUGUGAAAUGAGAGACAUUCAUUUUAUUUCUGCAUUGAGGCUAAUCUUUCACCUUCACAAUGAAAAGAUAAAUUGGCAGCAGUGUGGAGUAGUGGAUAGGGCUCUGGACUCUUGACUGGAGGGUUGUGGGUUCAAUCCCUGGUAGGGGACACUGAUGCUGUACCCUUGAGCAAGGUACUUUACCUAGAUUGCUCCAGUAAAAACCCAACUGUAUAAAUGGGUAAUUGUAUGUAAAAAUAAUGUGAUAUCUUGUAACAAUUGUAAGUCGCCCUG
Long non-coding RNA from Acipenser ruthenus (sterlet), 2515 nucleotides. RefSeq lists it as uncharacterized. Lineage: Eukaryota; Metazoa; Chordata; Actinopteri; Acipenseriformes; Acipenseridae. The transcript has 5 exons. The record is from RefSeq and is a predicted model, not a curated record.